UUGAGUUCCCGCAACCUUCCCGUAGAAGAUGAUGAAGGUGCUGACGGUAGUGAAGCGGAUGGUGAGGAGGAUGAGGCCGGUUCGGAAGAAGAAUAAAGCACUAUGUUUUUUUUUUGUUUAUGUUUUCUGUUAUAUGUUGUUCUAGUGUUUUUAUUGUUGUUAAACUAUGUUUAUGCUUGUCAUGUCUACCAAACACUUAACUUUUAAUCCUGUUUAUUCUGUCAUAUGUUGUGAUUCAAUGCUUUUCUGAUAAUC
Molecule: long non-coding RNA, 255 nt
Filed under: Lathyrus oleraceus (garden pea)
Lineage: Eukaryota; Viridiplantae; Streptophyta; Magnoliopsida; Fabales; Fabaceae
Description: Pisum sativum (pea) long non-coding RNA (PSAT_LNC000152)
Source: RNAcentral